Molecule: ribosomal RNA, 1242 nt
Filed under: metagenome
Description: bacterial LSU rRNA
Rfam family: Bacterial large subunit ribosomal RNA
Source: RNAcentral
UGAAUACGAGAUGCUACGGCGUCGAAGCAGUCUAUGUCAUACUUCCAAGAAAAGCUUGCACUGUCAUAAACAAAUAAUGCCUGUACCAUAACCGACACAGGUGGGUAGGUAGAGUAUACUAAGGGGCGCGAGAUAACUCUCCCUAAGGAACUCGGCAAAAUGACUCCGUAACUUCGGGAGAAGGAGUGCCUUAUUUUAUAAGGUUGCAAUAACAAGAUCCAAGCAACUGUUUACCAAAAACACAGGUCUCCGCUAAGUCGUAAGACGAUGUAUGGGGGCUGACGCCUGCCCAGUGCCAGAAGGUUAAAGAAGUUGGUUAGCAUCCGCGAAGCUGAUAACUGAAGCCCUGGUGAACGGCGGCCGUAACCAUAACGGUCCUAAGGUAGCGAAAUUCCUUGUCGGGUAAGUUCCGACCCGCACGAAAGGCGUAAUGAUUUGGAUACUGUCUCAGAGAGGGGCUCGGUGAAAUAGACUUGUCUGUGAAGAUGCGGACUACCUGCACCAGGACAGAAAGACCCUAUGAAGCUUUACUGUAACUUGAAAUUGAAAUUGGACUUUACUUGCGCAGUAUAGGUGGGAGGCGUUGAGAAUAUUCUUGCGGGAAUGUUGGAGCCAUCAGUGAGAUACCACUCUUGUAAUGUUAGAUUUCUAACUUUGUAUCAUUAUCUGGUCAAAGGACAGUUUCAGGCGGGCAGUUUGACUGGGGCGGUCGCCUCCCAAACGGUAACGGAGGCGCACAAAGGUUUCCUCUGAACGGGUAGAAAUCGUAUCUAGAGUGUAAAGGCAUAAGGAAGCUUGACUGUGAGACCUACAAGUCGAGCAGGGACGAAAGUCGGUCUUAGUGAUCUGACGGUGCUGAGUGGAAAGGCCGUCACUCAACGGAUAAAAGUUACUCUAGGAUAACAGGCUGAUCUCCCCCAAGAGUUCACAUCGACGGGGAGGUUUGGCACCUUGAUGUCGGCUCAUCGCAUCCUGGGGCGGUAGUACGUCCCAAGGGUUGGGCUGUUCGCCCAUGAAAGCGGUACGCGAGCUGGGUUCAGAACGUCGUGAGACAGUUCGGUCCAUAUCCGGUGUAGGCGUUAGAAUAUUGAGAGGAGCCUUCUUUAGUACGAGAGGACCGAGAAGGACAUACCUCUGGUGUACCAGCUAUCGUGCCAACGGUAAACGCUGGGUAGCUAUGUAUGGAGUGGAUAACCGCUGAAAGCAUCUAAGUGGGAAGCCCACCUCAAGAUAAGUAUUCCC